Molecule: non-coding RNA, 75 nt
Organism: Heligmosomoides polygyrus
Lineage: Eukaryota; Metazoa; Nematoda; Chromadorea; Rhabditida; Heligmosomidae
Source: Rfam
GCGCCGGUGGUGUAAUGGCGUAGAGCAUUCCCGCCCGGUCAGAGGGAGGUGCGGGUUCGAGUCCCGCCUGGCGCC